Molecule: ribosomal RNA, 253 nt
Filed under: uncultured bacterium
Lineage: Bacteria
Description: partial 16S ribosomal RNA
Rfam family: Bacterial small subunit ribosomal RNA
Source: RNAcentral
UACAGAGGGUGCGAGCGUUAAUCGGAAUUAUUGGGCGUAAAGCGCACGUAGGCGGCUUGGCAAGUCGGAUGUGAAAUCCCUCGGCUCAACCAAGGAAGUGCAUCCGAAACUGCUGAGCUUGAGUACUUAAGAGGAUCGCGGAAUUCCCGGUGUAGAGGUGAAAUUCGUAGAUAUCGGGAGGAACACCAGUGGCGAAGGCGGCGAUCUGGGAAGAUACUGACGCUGAGGUGCGAAAGCGUGGGGAGCAAACAGG